AGGGGUGGGGUAGAUGGCGGCGACGAGGAAGGCAACAAGGAGGCACAGUCAGUAGCUCCCAGGCAGUGUGACCGUGCGUAAUGAUGUAUAACCGGCAACUGUGCAUCCCACUUAGUUAUUAUGUCAUAGUUGACAAUCCUUUUACGUGAAAUUUUCUUCCGAUCAUAUUAAAUAUCUAAAUACUCAAGGUCAAGGAUAACGUGAGUGCAUUACCAUCCUUAGAUUAUUUCUAACAAAAAUAUAGGGUAUAAACCUGAGAGAAAGAGGUGCAAAACGAAAGAAAAAGUAAAAUACUAUCGUACGUAGGAUCUUUAAAAAGAUUAUUAUUUGGGAUUUUUGGAGUUGGUACUACUCGGUACUGAGCUAGCAUUUAUUGCUAGUAAAUACCUUAGCCUAAAGAAAGAAGAAGAAAAAGAAGAAGGAGAAGAAGAAGAAGAAGAAGAAGUGGAGGAGGAAGAAGAGCUUGGGCUGAGGUGAAUUGGUCGAACACAGUGCUGCCAGUUGCAAGCUCUGUCUCUCUUUCUCUCUCUCUCUCUCUCUCGUUCGUUCGUUCUCACUCCAUCUAUCUAUCUAUCUAUCUAUCUAUCUAUCUAUCUAUCUCUAUCUAUCUCUUUUUGAACUGAGUCGACGCCGAAAGCUCGAUGCAAAUCGACGCCGUAUAAUAAUCAGUUCGAUGAAGAUCGACGUUAGCGUCCUCGUUAAUUUUCUUCCUAUUAAUUCUAUUUCUCUUUGUGGUGUGUCUUCUACGUGUCACGGUUCGAUAACAGCCAGAUGAACGUCGCCGACCUCAUCAGCAACACCAACAGCAACAGCAGCAUCAUCAUCAGUAACGUUGGCGUGUACCUGGAAAGUUAUAGUACCAUAGGAAGUACGUCGUUCUCUGAAACGCUCCAACGCUCUGCCGGAUGUCAACGAACUCCUCGUAGAGAAGAAAAGGAAGAAGAAGAAGAACAAGAAGAAGAACAAGAAACUUUCUCGUGCAUAACAGAGAAAGAAGAGCUGGAGUUUAACGGCAAGGUUAUCAAAACGAUUCCUAUCAAUUUAUUCGAUGGAGAUGAUUGUUUUGGUUUUAACACAAAUACAACGACCGCAACAUUUUCCACUAUAUCAUCGCUACAAAGUAGCUGAUUAUUCGAUCUAAAAUCAAUGAGAUAGGUCAUUGACUUAUGCACAUGCGGCUAACCGAAUCUUCGAACGACUAACAAACGAUUGGUACAAGAAGGCUAAAUCGAUGUCCAACUGACGGAUGCGCGCGAUCCCAUUGGCGAACGAGUUUUCAGGAAAAUGUCUCAGUACUCUUCGUAGAUAACAAGAAGAACGUUUGUUUGGAAGUAAUUUAUGAUAUGAGAAGAUUUUGAAACUUUUGUAGGAUACGUCGUAAUUGUACUUUUUGAUAAGAAUACUUAAGGUUUUUUUUAAGAAAAUUUACAAGUAAAACUGUGCAAAGUUAGAUAUAAACAGGUUCGAAUAAUAGUGCCUGCUAAAGUGUUUAAAGAAUAGGAUUACAUAGUGCUAUUAUAUUUCGCAGAAAGGAGAAAAAGAAAGGAAAGAGAGCGAGAGAAAGAGAGAGAGAGGGAGAGAGAGAUUAGAGGAAAGAAAUUUUAAGUAAAAGUCUAGUAACGUUAGAAUACUGGUGAGUUUUAGUCAAAAUUUGCUGGACGAGUGGCGGGGUAAUUACCGUUCUUUGCAUGGAGUGAUGAGCGGGGCCCCUGCACGGGGCACAGUGCCCCGACGUCAAAGACGCCAUCAUCAUCAUCAUCACCACCAUCAUCAUCAUCAUCAGAAACAUCCAAAACACGCUCGGAAAGAGCCUUCCGAGGAAUUGGAAGAAAAACGACCAAAGGUCAACCCGAUAUUCCUCUGGGCGUCUCAAAGAGAACAGAGGAUAGUCGAAGUUAGAUGCGAGGAUUAUGACAAGAGAAAUCGCAUUAAAUUGACGAAGACUGCGCAAGGAUGGCGUUCAAUACCGAGAACGACAUCCAAUAUGUAUUCCACCGGUCUCGGUACGAAUCAAGAAAAAAAAAUUACACCGGCGUGCACGUCGUCGAGUUCAAACUCGAACGAAGAAAAGGAAAAUGGGAAGACCGUGACCGCAACUAGCAUUAAUAAUAAUUUAAUAAUCGAUAAAGAAAGUAUCGGUAAGAAGCGUAGAUACGAAGACUUUUUGAAAGACAAGAAAUAUUCUCAGGAUUAUUACCCAUUGGAAAAUCUUCAAAAUGGAGUACGAGUCAGUAACGGGGAAUGGAAAAGGAAUCGAAGAAGGGUCUCCUGUUCGGAGGGGGAGGAGGAAGAGGAGGAAGAUGAGGAAGAGGAUGACGACGACGAUGAUGAAGAUGAAACCGAAGACGAAGAGCAAGAUGACGGGAGAAAAAAGAGUAGGUCCUUCGGAUCUAUGAAUUUGAAGAAUACCAACGGUAAAAGCAAUCUCGAAAGAUUGCAAAAGGACAUACACUUUCAACCGAGAGUAGUCCUAGAACAUCUUCACUUAUCUCAGCUACCUGAUCAUCGGGAUGCUCUUUUACGAAGGAGUGAUAAGAUCCUGAACGGUCUUAAGGAAGUCGGUGACACAUGCAACGAUGACGAGAAGGAUAGAGUGGAAGAUAAAGAACCGAACAACGAAAGACAGAAUGAAGAUAUCGACGGUGAGGAAGACGAAGAAGAUGAGGAUAAUGAUGAAGAGGACGAAGAGGAAGAGGAGGAAGAAGAAGCAGUGGAAGAAGAGAUUAAUGAUAGGAACAAAUGUCGAGAAAAUAAAGAGGGUAUUCAAGACAUAUUAAAUAUGAUAGAUGCCACAGCCUCACCCGUUUUAGCAACCGACACGCCCAGUGCCGACUUACCUAUGCAUUCUAACAAAACUUUCGAAUUAGUUUUGAGCGAGAACGUAUAUCAAAAGAAAAUUAGCGAUAAGAAGAGCAAAGACUUGGAUCCUGCCUUACCUAGUACGGUAAUAAAAAAUAAAUCAAGGACAGACUUUAUAUCCAAUUAUCAAAAAGAAAAUGUUGAAAAUAAUGAUAAUAUUAAUGAUUGUGAUCAAUUAGAAGUACACGAGGAGAAGAUACUCGAGCGUUGCAAUUUAAAUCUCGACGAAAGAAAAAGUCAUUUAUCAAAAGAAUCAACUUUUGUUGCUUGCAAAAAUAAUAGUAGUAGUAGUAGCAGUAGUAGUAGUAGUAAUAGUAAUAAUAAUAAUAAUAGUAGUAGUAUCGAUAUCAAAUCUUGCAAAGUGGCAGAAGCUGACGGUGGUAUUAGUCGUUCCAAAUCUGAAUCGAAUUCUCUCCUUCAUAAAUGGAAAAACAACGUAGCUAUGAACGUAUCGAAAAUAAACGAGGAAGCACCUAGCGAACCCGGUGGACCAACGAAGAUAGAUUACAGUAGUAGUUCAACGAUAUUGAACGCCCUUAGAAAUACUCCAGGACUUUCAGUUUCCAUAACGAGAGCUCAUCCUCAAGAAGUAACCAAAAAUAUAAACCCACCUUCCUCCAGACCCUCAUCGAAAAGUUCCUCGUCGAGCAGAUCACCCGAUAGUCAGGCAGAAAACGUAGAAAGACUUUUGAAAGGUACCAUGAUCGAUUACUCCUCAACGAGAUCGUUCGAUGUCCGUGGUCAAGCAUUAAAUUUACCUCGAAACCUUCCAGGUUUGUCGAUCGUCAUACCGAAUUAUCGUUAUCGUAACGUAUCUAAUUCACAGUCAACGACGAGUUCGACCUCACCAAAAACCAAGGACAGAGUGGAAUCGCCAGAGAGUACUGUUAAUUUUCCAAAAACUGACUUCCCACAUGAGGAGGAGGAAGAAAGAGAUCUCGAGGACGACGAAGACGAUUGCGAUUCACAAGUUUUGGAAGAUCUUAGAAGGCAAAAAGUUGAUUCUUUAGUUUUUGAUAGCGUCGAUAGUGGUUGUUUUCAUAGAUCAAAUUCUAGGAACAAUCAGGAUGAUCGCAAUACUCCUAUAGAAAAUGUUAAGGAUCGUACAGAUGGUAGUGCAUGGAACGGUUCCGGUCGUAGUAGCGAAGCUCAAGCAAAGUGCAAGUACCAGGACGUGGAACACUUUGAUGAACAGGUCCUCGAAGAACUUAGAUCUCGCGGUACAGUGGUUUCGCCUCAACCCAGUGGUAUUCCGUGUUCGCCUGCCUCUAAAAGGCCAUCUUCGGUAUACUUGGAAAGACUGUUACCAAGCCCACCUUGUUCGGUGUCCUGUUCUGAAGAUGCUAAAAACGAUUUGACUUUAAAGGGUAUUUUAUCAUCCCCGAGUUGUCUUGAAAAUAAAGAUUACGAUAGAAACAGGGAAAGUACGUCAAAUCGAUGCGAGCCUGGAUCAAACGAAUAUACGGCUACUACUCCUCGGUCGGAUUAUUCCAAAGAUAAUGAAAGAUCCAACGUUGGUGGUACGCGUAGAACUGUACGAACUUUUCAAGAACAUUCUAACGUACAAAAUCAAGAGAUGAAGAAUUCGGGAAGACUAAUGUCGAAUAGUGAUAUUCAAAGUAGUCUCUUUAUAAGCGAUCGUAGUACAGCGAAGAAACCUAUGUCGGCCGAAUGGACGAUUAAUCGGUUAAGAAAACAAGCAGGUUAUCAUAAAAUAUUGGUAAGAUCUAGAAUGCAAUCGACGGAGUAUCAAGAGGGUUACGCGACGUCUACCAGUACGGACAAGCUUUUGGACCCGGCCAGUCAACUUAGAGAGUUGAUAGAAACAUCCGGUCAUUUAAUACCUGAUCCCCUUUUAGUACCACGUGACUAUCUUCCAGCUUUGGCCGCUGCCCCGGCUACCGAAAUUCCGAAACUUUUAGCCUCGAGGCCAGAAUUAAGAUUACCAGAAGCAUUGACGAGACCGGAUCUAUUAAGAGAUCCAGAUUUAUUAGUGAUAUCGUUGAGUCAUCUGCAACACGUGCUCGAUCACGGAGAAGGUCCUGUCUCCAGGUCACGACAAUCCCAAUCUAGGAUCGGCAACGGCGUUAACAAAGGAUCAAGUCACGCUAACAACAACGGUACCAGGAACGGUACACAAAUAAGGCCCAAGCUUAGUUGCAAGCCCAUCGGCACGCUGAUGCCGGCGCCAAUCGAUCUCUCCAGCAAUCGCCGCUCCAGCCCCUAUCCGCCAUUACUCAGGGUACGAACUGGAUUGCUCAAACAGGAACCGGAAGUCAGUUCGACGGCCAACUCGCCGGAUGAUUCGCAACUUUGGCAUCCCCUUUUUGGCAGGAGGGACACACCGAUAGCUACGAAAAUACCGAUACUCCGUCGUUCUAGCGAGGACGCUUUUUGCAGCGAGGAGGAUCGAUCGAGGUAGCGUUGCUCCGCACGUGCGCAGAUCACAUUCUCUCGCAUGCUGAGGCCACCACGUCACUCCUCGCCGAGUCAGAAGAGGCAAUUACAACAACAGCAACAAAUUCAGCAGCAACAUCAACAGCAUCAGUAUCAGCAUCAGUUUCCACAUCCACA
Molecule: unclassified non-coding RNA, 5433 nt
Filed under: Polistes dominula (European paper wasp)
Lineage: Eukaryota; Metazoa; Arthropoda; Insecta; Hymenoptera; Vespidae
Description: myb-like protein X, transcript variant X2
Source: RNAcentral